GUUAGCCUAAGAGCUGGCAUAUAUUUUUUGGAGUGCUGUGAGGUGUAUUGCAAGUCUUGCCAUUAUUUGUUUACAUUUUUCAAAAAGCUAAAAGUCGAAAUAGCCAAAAUAACUCAGACUAUUUCAAAAGCUCAUUAUUUGCAUAGUGUACUCAUUUGAGCAAGAGGAAAGUCUGACUGCUAAGAGCUGCUAGGAAAGGAUAAAAGUGAACUGUAUGUGUAAAGAAGGGAAUGAGAAAGUUGCACACAGGUAAUAGGCUCUUUAUCAGCCAGUGCUGCCAUCCCUAGUUGCUGGGAAUAUAGGCUGAUAUAUAACAAUAUCCCCUUUCCUAGACAAUUUUCUGAUCAACCAGGAGCUGCCUUUCCUCAGGGGCUAUGCAACCACCUCUUGGAGUUCAGAAUUUAGAUGAUGACUAACUGAUAUCAAGGUUUAAAGGCUGCUUGUGUCAAAGUGAGAUUGAUUCAGUGGUGCAAUGUGUACUCUAGAGUUUUCACCAUGAGACCAGACGUAAAGAAGCCUCUGAGACCAGAUUCUUGUGCAUGUUUUUCGUCUUGCCUAUCCUGCAUUCCUCAACUCUCCUGAAGGCUUUCCCUCAUUCUGUCACUUGAACAAGAAUCCCCUCCCAGGCUCUGCUUCCAAGGCUACAAGGAUUCAAUCUGCUUUCCUUUAUUUUGGAAGUUGUUUACACCCACUCUACUUUCUGGGUUUAUUUCCUAGCAAGACUGCCUGCAGAGUGAGGAUACAAAGAGAAGUUGAUAGUCUGCCGCCUAGAAAAAAGCCCUCACCAGCACCUGACCGUGCUGAUACUGUGAUCUGGAACUUUCAGCCUCCGGAACUGUGAGAAAUAAAUGUUCGUUGUAUAAGCCACCUGGUCAAUGUUGAUUUGUUAUAGCAGCCCAAGCUGAUUGAGACUGAUCAAGAUAAAGGGUUAACUAUUACAUGAUAUA
Molecule: long non-coding RNA, 947 nt
Filed under: Homo sapiens (human)
Lineage: Eukaryota; Metazoa; Chordata; Mammalia; Primates; Hominidae
Description: HSALNT0031470
Source: RNAcentral